CCCUUAGACGUUCUGGGCCGCACGCGCGCUACACUGGCCGGUGCAACAAGCAUCCGUCCUUGGCCGACAGGCCCGGGCAAUCUUUGAACGCCGGUCGUGAUGGGGAUAGACUUUUGCAAUUUUUGGUCUUCAACGAGGAAUUCCUAGUAAACGCAAGUCAUCAACUUGCAUUGAUUACGUCCCUGCCCUUUGUACACACCGUCCGUCGCACCUACCGAUUGAAUGGUCCGGUGAAGCCUCCGGAUUGGCGCGCACCUCGGUGCCGCCGAGAAGUUGGCUAAACCUUACCAUUUAGAGGAAGGUGAAGUCGUAACA
Molecule: ribosomal RNA, 315 nt
Filed under: uncultured eukaryote
Lineage: Eukaryota
Description: partial 18S ribosomal RNA
Rfam family: Eukaryotic small subunit ribosomal RNA
Source: RNAcentral